UAGUAAGAAAGGAAUGGGGUAAGCUGACCUCAUUAAAAUCUCAGAAUUUUUUUAUAGUCUUUACAUUUUUCUAAUAUUUUGUUUUGGUUUUGUUGUUUGGAAUCCCCUAAAUUUUUGUUUUUUUUUGUUUUUGGACCCUCUAAAAUUUUAAGUUUGUGUGUUUAAACUUAAAAUUAAACGCCCUGACCGCCAUCUCUCCAGGGCGUUAAACGAUCGUCACCCCCUGACAGUGUGAGCCCACCACUCCACACUUGUCUGGGUUCGGCUCUGAUACC
RNAcentral lists this long non-coding RNA (275 nucleotides) under Capsella rubella. RNAcentral describes it as "long non-coding RNA (CRUB_LNC002264)". Lineage: Eukaryota; Viridiplantae; Streptophyta; Magnoliopsida; Brassicales; Brassicaceae. The record is from RNAcentral.